Molecule: ribosomal RNA, 564 nt
Filed under: uncultured Glomeromycotina
Lineage: Eukaryota; Fungi; Glomeromycota
Description: SSU rRNA
Rfam family: Eukaryotic small subunit ribosomal RNA
Source: RNAcentral
UUGGAGGGCAAGUCUGGUGCCAGCAGCCGCGGUAAUUCCAGCUCCAAUAGCGUAUAUAAAAGUUGUUGCAGUUAAAAAGCCCGUAGUUGAAUUUCGGGAUCAGGUUGUCGGUCGUGCCUCGGUACGCACUGGUAUUAUUGGUUCCUACCUUCUGAAGAACCGCGAUGUCAUUAAUUUGGUGUCGUGGGGAAUCAGGACUGUUACUUUGAAAAAAUUAGAGUGUUUAAAGCAGGCUUUAGCUUGAAUACAUUAGCAUGGAAUAAUGAAAUAGGACGUUCGAACCUAUUUUGUUGGUUUCUAGGAUCAACGUAAUGAUUAAUAGGGAUAGUUGGGGGCAUUAGUAUUCAAUUGUCAGAGGUGAAAUUCUUGGAUUUAUUGAAGACUAACUACUGCGAAAGCAUUUGCCAAGGAUGUUUUCAUUAAUCAAGAACGAAAGUUAGGGGAUCAAAGACGAUCAGAUACCGUCGUAGUCUUAACCAUAAACUAUGCCGACUAGGGAUCGGAUGAUGUUAAUUUUUUAAUGACUCAUUCGGCGCCUUACGGGAAACCAAAGUGUUUGGGUUC